RNAcentral lists this ribosomal RNA (478 nucleotides) under uncultured bacterium. RNAcentral's name for it is "partial 16S ribosomal RNA". It matches the Rfam family "Bacterial small subunit ribosomal RNA", at positions 28 to 523 of the family's 1533-position model. The record is from RNAcentral.
GACGAACGCUGGCGGCGUGCUUAACACAUGCAAGUCGAACGGUAAGGCCCUUCGGGGUACACGAGUGGCGAACGGGCGAGGAACACGUGGGUGAUCUGCCCUGCACUUCGGGAUAAGCCUGGGAAACUGGGUCUAAUACCGGAUAGGACUCCUGGCUUCCUGGUUGGGGGUGGAAAGCUUUUGCGGUGUGGGAUGGGCCCGCGGCCUAUCAGCUUGUUGGUGGGGUAAUGGCCUACCAAGGCGACGACGGGUAGCCGGCCUGAGAGGGUGACCGGCCACACUGGGACUGAGAUACGGCCCAGACUCCUACGGGAGGCAGCAGUGGGGAAUAUUGCACAAUGGGCGCAAGCCUGAUGCAGCGACGCCGCGUGAGGGAUGACGGCCUUCGGGUUGUAAACCUCUUUCAGCACCGACGAAGCGCAAGUGACGGUAGGUGCAGAAGAAGGACCGGCCAACUACGUGCCAGCCGCCGCCGUAA